Molecule: ribosomal RNA, 292 nt
Filed under: uncultured bacterium
Lineage: Bacteria
Description: partial 16S ribosomal RNA
Rfam family: Bacterial small subunit ribosomal RNA
Source: RNAcentral
GUGCCAGCAGCCGCGGUAAUACGGAGGGUGCGAGCGUUAAUCGGAAUGACUGGGCGUAAAGCGUGCGUAGGUGGUAACGUUAGUCAGCCGUGAAAGCCCUGGGCUCAACCUGGGAAUGGCGGUUGAAACGGCGUAACUGGAGUGGGCUAGAGGACUGUGGAACUCCCGGUGUAGCGGUGAAAUGCGUAGAGAUCGGGAAGAACACCGAUGGCGAAGGCAGCGGUCUGGGGCCACACUGACGCUGAGGCACGAAAGCGUGGGGAGCAAACAGGAUUAGAUACCCCGGUAGUCC